Molecule: ribosomal RNA, 1373 nt
Filed under: uncultured bacterium
Lineage: Bacteria
Description: bacterial SSU rRNA
Rfam family: Bacterial small subunit ribosomal RNA
Source: RNAcentral
AGAGUUUGAUCCUGGCUCAGGACGAACGCUGGCGGCGCGCCUAACACAUGCAAGUCGAACGGAGUUGAGAGGAGCUUGCUUUUCUUGACUUAGUGGCGAACGGGUGAGUAACGCGUGAGUAACCUGCCCUUGAGUGGGGGACAACAGUUGGAAACGACUGCUAAUACCGCAUAAGCCCACGGUAUCGCAUGGUACUGAGGGAAAAGGAUUUAUUCGCUUAAGGAUGGACUCGCGUCCAAUUAGUUAGAUGGUGAGGUAACGGCCCACCAUGGCGACGAUUGGUAGCCGGACUGAGAGGUUGAACGGCCACAUUGGGACUGAGACACGGCCCAGACUCCUACGGGAGGCAGCAGUGGGGGAUAUUGCACAAUGGGGGAAACCCUGAUGCAGCGACGCCGCGUGAAGGAAGAAGGCCUUCGGGUUGUAAACUUCUGUCGUAAGGGACGAUAAUGACGGUACCUUACAAGAAAGCCACGGCUAACUACGUGCCAGCAGCCGCGGUAAAACGUAGGUGGCAAGCGUUGUCCGGAAUUACUGGGUGUAAAGGGAGCGCAGGCGGACUGACAAGUUGGAAGUGAAAUCUACGGGCUCAACUCGUAAAUUGCUUUCAAAACUGUCAGCCUUGAGUAGUGCAGAGGUAGGCGGAAUUCCCGGUGUAGCGGUGGAAUGCGUAGAUAUCGGGAGGAACACCAGUGGCGAAGGCGGCCUACUGGGCACCAACUGACGCUGAGGCUCGAAAGUGUGGGUAGCAAACAGGAUUAGAUACCCCUGGUAGUCCACACCGUAAACGAUGAUUACUAGGUGUUGGGGGAUUGACCCCCUCAGUGCCGCAGUUAACACAAUAAGUAAUCCACCUGGGGAGUACGACCGCAAGGUUGAAACUCAAAGGAAUUGACGGGGGCCCGCACAAGCAGUGGAGUAUGUGGUUUAAUUCGACGCAACGCGAAGAACCUUACCAGGUCUUGACAUCCAACGACCGCCAUAGAGAUAUGGCUUUCCUUCGGGACGUUGAGACAGGUGGUGCAUGGUUGUCGUCAGCUCGUGUCGUGAGAUGUUGGGUUAAGUCCCGCAACGAGCGCAACCCUUAUGCUUAGUUACUACGCAAGAGGACUCUAGGCAGACUGCCGUUGACAAAACGGAGGAAGGUGGGGAUGACGUCAAAUCAUCAUGCCCUUUAUGACCUGGGCUACACACGUACUACAAUGGCGUUAAACAAAGAGAAGCGAAGCCGCGAGGCGGAGCAAAACUCAAAAACAACGUCUCAGUUCAGAUUGCAGGCUGCAACUCGCCUGCAUGAAGUUGGAAUUGCUAGUAAUCGCGGAUCAGAAUGCCGCGGUGAAUACGUUCCCGGGCCUUGUACACACCGCCCGUCA